UGGAAAAAGACGCUGGGUUCCUCCCAGGCUACUCCCUAAAGGCAUCUUCCUUUCACACCUAGUGGAGUCCUCAGGGCUCAGUGACCCAACAAUGAACUCCAGUCACCCCCUGUGAUGACAAUGGGAACCAGGGCUCUUCUGCCUGACACAAGAAGUUCCUUUUACCAUUCCCUGGUGACUGUGGCUACAGUUUAGCCAGCUUUCCUUGAGAGAGGUACACCCAGGACCAGUGGGAGGACAAGACAGCUCUCUGCCCUGUUCUACCUUCACUCCAUCCCCAUUCUUUCCCUCUCCAUCUUUUCAUCCCUCUGUUCUGACAUCGGCUACAAGGAAGGAGCUACAGACAUCACCUGGUCCAUCAUCCCUCAUUUUACAAAGGAGACCAAAGGAAGGACCAGGAUUUCCCCAAGGUCACAAUAGUAGUUUGAUUAGUUCAUCCACUUCUCUCUGACUCCCUCCACUAAGACAGGCUACCUGCUCUUCAUGGGAAACCUAGAACAAGUUUUAUCAACUCCCUGAGCUUCCUCAUCUGCAAACUGGGGAUAAGGAUACAGCAAAAGGAUCACUGAGUCUGGAGUCGGAGGACCCACAUUGCAAUCCAGACUCCGACACUGCCUGCAUGAGCCUGGACAGGUUUCUUAAUCUCUCUAGACCUCAGUUUCCUCAUCUGUAAAGAAAGGGGAGGUGGACUAGAUAUUUCUCUAAAGUCCCUUCUACCUCUGAAUCAAUAAUCCUUCUUGGUCUACCUACCUCCCAGGGUAGUCCUAGAGAACAGCCUUGGCAGACUCGAUCAUCUUGGGUGGCGUUGCCUGCUGAGACUCCUCCCAUAAUACCUGGAUGGGCAAGGUUGAUUGGAGAAGUAGCUGCCUCCUGGUAGGACACUUCUUGUACCCCCCCAGAGGAUGCCCUCCCCCAGGGGUCAGUCAGGCAGUCAAUAAACAUUUAUUAUGAUGAGGAAGUCCAGGAGAGCCAACAUAUGGAAAAGGAUGAGAUGGCUCUGGGCCCCCUCCUUCAAUGACGGCACUGGCAGGAGCUGUCCAAUGUCCAGGUUCAUCUGCCCUCUAAGCAGAGGGAAGGAGGGGAGGGGUUCAUGGGGGCAGGGAUCACGAAGAUCUGAGUUUCAGAGUUGAAGUGAUCUAGCAGGAAGAUGAGUUUUUGAAGACAAUGAUAAAGUUCAAGAAAGCAAUCAGAAUGGAUGGGAGCUCUAGGUAUAUAGGACGCAGACUUGAAUCUACAGCUGAGACCUCAUCAGAUCAGAAAAAGCCUUGUCCCCAUUUCCUGCCCUCCCUCCAGAGACCCUGCUUUUGUGGCUGCAUCCUGAGAAGCAAGGCCAUGCUCCAUGAACGGACCCCCAUAUGCCCUCCAACCUAUCCCUGCAGUUUCUCCAAAGCUUCCCCCCAGGUAAAUUUCUUAAGAGAGUCCCCCCAUGACCUGGGUUUCCCCACUCGCCGUGCAGAGCUCCCACAGACUGGCCUUAACUAAGGGUCAAAGAACUGACAUCACCAAAGUUCAUGCUCUCCGACCAGGACCACUGAGGCAUCCAGCCUGAAUCUCCUUUCCUGCCAUUCAGACAGCCCACCAGCUAUCCCUCACCAGAGACUCCCAGGCUCACAAAGCUUCUUCUAGUUCUCUGGUGGCCCUAUCUCAGCACUGGAACAGGACCAAAGGAAGAAUGAAAUCUCCACCCUUCCGAUUUGGGCCUUGAGAGUUGGCUAACCUUCCCUUCUCCCCUCCCCUCCAAGAUGCCCUCCUUCUGUCCCCUCUGUCCUACCCACCUACUUACCUGCCAAUUUAUUAAAUUCAUUCAUUCUCCCAUUCA
Monodelphis domestica (gray short-tailed opossum) is the source of this 1819-nucleotide long non-coding RNA. RefSeq lists it as uncharacterized. NCBI's taxonomy places the organism in Eukaryota, Metazoa, Chordata, Mammalia, Didelphimorphia, Didelphidae. The record is from RefSeq and is a predicted model, not a curated record.